GAAACCAACUGGGAUUGCCUUAGUAACGGCGAGUGAAGCGGCAAAAGCUCAAAUUUGAAAUCUGGUACCUUUGGUGCCCGAGUUGUAAUUUGGAGAGUACCACUUUGGGACUGUACUUUGCCUAUGUUCCUUGGAACAGGACGUCAUGGAGGGUGAGAAUCCCGUGUGGCGAGGGUGUCAGUUCUUUGUAAAGGGUGCUCGAAGAGUCGAGUUGUUUGGGAAUGCAGCUCUAAGUGGGUGGUAAAUUCCAUCUAAAGCUAAAUACAGGCGAGAGACCGAUAGCGAACAAGUACAGUGAUGGAAAGAUGAAAAGAACUUUGAAAAGAGAGUGAAAAAGUACGUGAAAUUGUUGAAAGGGAAGGGCAUUUGAUCAGACAUGGUGUUUUGCGCCCCUUGCCUCUCGUGGGCUUGGGACUCUCGCAGCUCACUGGGCCAGCAUCGGUUUUGGCGGCCGGAAAAAACCUAGGGAAUGUGGCUCUGCGCCUCGGUGUAGAGUGUUAUAGCCCUGGG
RNAcentral lists this ribosomal RNA (510 nucleotides) under Nakaseomyces glabratus. Its description in RNAcentral is "LSU rRNA". It matches the Rfam family "Eukaryotic large subunit ribosomal RNA", at positions 61 to 573 of the family's 3401-position model. The record is from RNAcentral. Lineage: Eukaryota; Fungi; Ascomycota; Saccharomycetes; Saccharomycetales; Saccharomycetaceae.